This 524-nucleotide ribosomal RNA is filed under the name uncultured bacterium. RNAcentral describes it as "partial 16S ribosomal RNA". It matches the Rfam family "Bacterial small subunit ribosomal RNA", at positions 28 to 523 of the family's 1533-position model. The record is from RNAcentral.
GACGAACGCUGGCGGCGUGCCUAAUACAUGCAAGUCGAGCGCAGGAAACUGACGGAACUCUUCGGAGGGAAGGCAGCGGAAUGAGCGGCGGACGGGUGAGUAACACGUAAGGAACCUGCCUCAAGGAUUGGGAUAACUCCGAGAAAUCGGAGCUAAUACCGGAUAGUUCAACGGACCGCAUGGUCCGCUGAUGAAAGGCGCUCCGGCGUCACCUUGAGAUGGCCUUGCGGUGCAUUAGCUAGUUGGUGGGGUAACGGCCCACCAAGGCGACGAUGCAUAGCCGACCUGAGAGGGUGAUCGGCCACACUGGGACUGAGACACGGCCCAGACUCCUACGGGAGGCAGCAGUAGGGAAUCUUCCACAAUGGACGAAAGUCUGAUGGAGCAACGCCGCGUGAGUGAUGAAGGUUUUCGGAUCGUAAAACUCUGUUGUAAGGGAAGAACACGUACGAGAGGAAAUGCUCGUACCUUGACGGUACCUUACGAGAAAGCCACGGCUAACUACGUGCCAGCAGCCGCGGUAA